AUGAACGCUGGCGGCGUGCCUAAUACAUGCACGUCGAGCGAACGGACGAGAAGCUUGCGUCUCUGAUGUUAGCGGCGGACGGGUGAGUAACACGUGGAUAACCUACCUAUAAGACUGGGAUAACUUCGGGAAACCGGAGCUAAUACCGGAUAAUAUUUUGAACCGCAUGGUUCAAAAGUGAAAGACGGUCUUGCUGUCACUUAUAGAUGGAUCCGCGCUGCAUUAGCUAGUUGGUAAGGUAACGGCUUACCAAGGCAACGAUGCAUAGCCGACCUGAGAGGGGGAUCGGCCACACUGGAACUGAGACACGGUCCAGACUCCUACGGGAGGCAGCAGUAGGGAAUCUUCCGCAAUGGGCGAAAGCCUGACGGAGCAACGCCGCGUGAGUGAUGAAGGUCUUCGGAUCGUAAAACUCUGUUAUUAGGGAAGAACAUAUGUGUAAGUAACUGUGCACAUCUUGACGGUACCUAAUCAGAAAGCCACGGCUAACUACGUG
RNAcentral lists this ribosomal RNA (496 nucleotides) under uncultured bacterium. RNAcentral describes it as "partial 16S ribosomal RNA". It matches the Rfam family "Bacterial small subunit ribosomal RNA", at positions 29 to 507 of the family's 1533-position model. The record is from RNAcentral.